CGUGUUAAGUGGAAAAGGAUGUGGGAUUUCGAAGACAACUAGGAUGUUGGCUCAGAAGCAGCCAUACAUUCAAAGAGUGCGUAAUAGCUCACUAGUCGAGAGGUCCUGCGCCGAAAAUGUCCGGGGCUGAAACACAACACCGAAGCUCAGGAAUGUAUUUAUACAUUGGUAGAGGAGCAUUCUUAAAGGGGCGAAGCAGUACCGAUAAGGAGCUGUGGACUUUUAAGAAGAGAGAAUGCCGGAAUGAGUAGCGAGAUGGAGGUGGGAAUCCUCCAGGCCGAAUAUCCAAGGUUUCCAGAGUAAAGCUGAUCUGCUCUGGGUAAGUCGGGACCUAAGGCGAGGUCGAAAGACGUAGUCGAUGGAUAACAGGUUGAAAUUCCUGUACUAUCCUGUAACAGAACUGUGGGGACACAGGCAGAGAGCGUGAGCCGGGAAUGGAAAGACCGGUACAAGCGAGGUAGGAGAAGAGUUGGCAAAUCCGCUCUUUAAUCUGAAGACGUGAUGUGGACUGAAAAUAAGUAGGGAAGCACGUGAGCUGACUGUCAAGAAAAGCCGCUAUUGUUUGCAGGAUACCCGUACCGUAAACCGACACAGGUGGAUGAGGAGAGAAUCCUAAGGCCGACGGGAGAAGCAUUGUUAAGGAACUCGGCAAAAUGACUCCGUAACUUCGGGAGAAGGAGUGCCAGUAAGAUGGCCGCAGAGAAUUGGCCCAAGCAACUGUUUAGCAAAAACACAGGUCUAUGCAAAACCGUAAGGUGAAGUAUAUGGGCUGACGCCUGCCCGGUGCUGGAAGGUUAAGGGGAGAGGUUAGCGCAAGCGAAGCUUUGAACUUAAGCCCCAGUAAACGGCGGCCGUAACUAUAACGGUCCUAAGGUAGCGAAAUUCCUUGUCGGGUAAGUUCCGACCCGCACGAAAGGCGUAAUGAUUUGGGCACUGUCUCAACGAUACACCCGGUGAAAUUGAAAUACCAGUGAAGAUGCUGGUUACCUGCGCCAGGACGGAAAGACCCCAUGGAGCUUUACUCCAGUUUGAUACUGGGAUUCGGCAUGGUAUGUACAGGAUAGGUGGGAGACUGAGAAGGUAUGACGUCAGUUGUACCGGAGUCGCUGUUGGGAUACCACCCUUACCAUGUUGGAUUUCUAACCUGUGGCCGUGAACCGGUCAGGGGACAAUGUCAGGCGGGGAGUUUGACUGGGGCGGUCGCCUCCGAAAGGGUAUCGGAGGCGCUCAAAGGUUCCCUCAGAAUGGUUGGAAACCAUUCGAAGAGUGCAAAGGCAGAAGGGAGCUUGACUGCGACACCGACGGGUGGAGCAGGUACGAAAGUAGGACUUAGUGAUCCGGUGGUAUAAAGUGGGAUUGCCAUCGCUCAACGGAUAAAAGCUACCCUGGGGAUAACAGGCUUAUCACUCCCAAGAGUUCACAUCGACGGAGUGGUUUGGCACCUCGAUGUCGGCUCAUCGCAUCCUGGGGCUGAAGUCGGUCCCAAGGGUUGGGCUGUUCGCCCAUUAAAGCGGUACGCGAGCUGGGUUCAGAACGUCGUGAGACAGUUCGGUCC
Molecule: ribosomal RNA, 1555 nt
Filed under: human gut metagenome
Description: bacterial LSU rRNA
Rfam family: Bacterial large subunit ribosomal RNA
Source: RNAcentral